RNAcentral lists this long non-coding RNA (1493 nucleotides) under Equus caballus (horse). RNAcentral describes it as "lncRNA (ENSECAG00000039631.2)". Lineage: Eukaryota; Metazoa; Chordata; Mammalia; Perissodactyla; Equidae. The record is from RNAcentral.
UACGGGGAGACUACUGUAUAAGCAUUGAGUAGAUAAAGGGGGAAAGAUACAAAUUAAGCAAGGUUAAGGAGAGAGGAUGAGCUGAAAUCAAAGGAAGUGAGAAAAUAAUUUUGUGGGCAAGAAGAAGAUGAGAGAUUUCCAGCAAGUACAGUGGGAGGUGGAGUGGAAUGGCAGACUCUAAGCAACAAAGAAACACUCUUCUGUGUUAAAGGAGGGGGCUAGGCCAGAAGGAGGCUUUAUUUGUAGUUAACACAACUACGUGUCCAGUGGACACUUAUUCAAUUAGUUUUAACACAGAAAGACAAGAAGGAGGUGGGUAGAGCAAGGACUAUUUGCAGAAAGUAGUAAAGAAGAAAGUGGGAAUUGAGGAGGAAAAAUAAGAUCAAACUAUGUGAUGCGGGGCUAGAAAGUGUUCCUUUUGGAUACAGCCCUGGAGAAGAUAAAAGAUAUGAAGGCAACUUGAACCAGAGGCCAGUGGAACCCCACUUCUCCACUAUCAGACAGCAACAUAGAUUCAGUGUUCUGAAGAUGGCGGCUAAACGCGGGCUGAGGAAGCAAGCAGCCUAGAAAUGAGUUGGUUCUGUUUGGGGAACUCCUAUAAAAGGCCAACUAUGAAUUCAAGGUGGGUGUGAGGCAAGGAACCUACAUCUCAAGGACCUUUCAGUCCACUAAGUAUUUGACACACUCUUGACUUUUCUUACUGACAACGUCAUAUCCACACAUAGAGGAGAAUAUCAAGCUGAACUCUGACUUUGGGCUUAAUUCCUACCAACAAGAAUAAUAGAGUUUUUAAAAUGAAUAUGACAGCAACUUUGGAAGAAAGUUAUCUUGGAGUUUGUAAAAGUAAAAUGUUGGCAACAUAAAUAAAAGUACCCCAGACUUUAGAAUAUCAUAUGCUUAAAAAGUCAGAUAGAAUGUGAUUACAAUCUCAUGAUAAGGGUUUCUAAAAAGUAUUCAAGAGAGAUGAGAGGUUCUCGAAAUUCUUAUAAUGUAAUAAGGAAUUAGACUAAAGAGAAGUAAAAAGAAGGAGGAAUCUAAAGAAAGCCAUGUGACUACACAGGGGUCCUCUGAUGUGCCCAAAAGAUAAAAGGAGGAGAAAAAAACCAAAGGGAAAUACAGAAGAGUGGUGCCAAUUUAGGUUUCAUUUCUACAUUUUCUAAUGCCUAAUACACAACACCGCAGGAUGGAAGAAAGGCAUAGAAAAUUCAAAAGGCACCUGCUCAGUCGUCACAACAGGACAGUGAUGUGAUUGACAGAAAGACACCAACAGACACUGUUAUGGAAGAUGUAAAGUUUCUUCAAUGGCAAAGGACAUGAAAACUUAUGGAGAUACCUAUAGAAAGCAGGAGCCAAGACAUUAGACUCCCUGCUGGUGGCUGUCUGCAACCCUGGAAGAGACUUCUCACCAGAACCUGAAUCAGCCAGAAUCUUGAGCUUGAACUUCUAGCCUCUAGAACCAUGAGAAAAUAAAUGUCUGUUGUUUAAGCCAUUCA